GGUGUUUACUGUCGAACUGAACACUCUACCGUUUACUGUCUGGUGGUGCUCUUCACCGAGUGUCACCAGUGGUCGGUACGUUUACUUUGAAAAAAUUAGAGUGCUCAAAGCGGUUUUUACACGACCGAAUACUGUUGCAUGGAAUAAUGAAAUAGGACUUGGUUCUAUUUUGUUGGUCUUCGGAACCAAGGUAAUGAUAGAGGGACAGACGGGGGCAUUAGUAUUGCGACGCUAGAGGUGAAAUUCUUGGACCGUCGCAAGACUAACUAAAGCGAAAGCAUUUGCCAAGAAUGUUUUCAUUAAUCAAGAACGAAAGUAGAGGUUUGAAGGCGAUCAGAUACCGCCCUAGUUCUAACCAUAAACGAUGCCAACCAGCAAUCAGCCUGUGUUCUCUUGAUGACACGGCUGGCGGCUUCCGGGAAACCAAAGUCUUUCGGUUCCAGGGGAAGUAUGGUUGCAAAGCUGAAACUUAAAGGAAUUGACGGAAGGGCACCACCAGGAGUGGAGCCUGCGGCUUAAUUUGACUCAACACGGGGAAACUCACCCGGCCCGGACACUGUGAGGAUUGACAGGUUGAAGCCCUUUCUUGAUUCAGUGGGUGGUGGUGCAUGGCCGUUCUUAGUUGGUGGAGUGAUUUGUCUGGUUAAUUCCGAUAACGAACGAGACUCUAGCCUACUAAUUAGACCGUGGCGUCCUCGUGCCGCCACGGCGCUUCCUAGAGGGACAGACGG
This 731-nucleotide ribosomal RNA is filed under the name uncultured eukaryote. RNAcentral describes it as "SSU rRNA". It matches the Rfam family "Eukaryotic small subunit ribosomal RNA", at positions 671 to 1426 of the family's 1831-position model. The record is from RNAcentral.